AGUCGAGCGGUAGAGAGAAGCUUGCUUCUCUUGAGAGCGGCGGACGGGUGAGUAAUACCUAGGAAUCUGCCUGAUAGUGGGGGAUAACGUUCGGAAACGGACGCUAAUACCGCAUACGUCCUACGGGAGAAAGCAGGGGACCUUCGGGCCUUGCGCUAUCAGAUGAGCCUAGGUCGGAUUAGCUAGUUGGUGAGGUAAUGGCUCACCAAGGCUACGAUCCGUAACUGGUCUGAGAGGAUGAUCAGUCACACUGGAACUGAGACACGGUCCAGACUCCUACGGGAGGCAGCAGUGGGGAAUAUUGGACAAUGGGCGAAAGCCUGAUCCAGCCAUGCCGCGUGUGUGAAGAAGGUCUUCGGAUUGUAAAGCACUUUAAGUUGGGAGGAAGGGCAGUUACCUAAUACGUGACUGUCUUGACGUUACCGACAGAAUAAGCACCGGCUAACUCUGUGCCAGCAGCCGCGGUAAUACAGAGGGUGCAAGCGUUAAUCGGAAUUACUGGGCGUAAAGCGCGCGUAGGUGGUUUGUUAAGUUGAAUGUGAAAUCCCCGGGCUCAACCUGGGAACUGCAUCCAAAACUGGCAAGCUAGAGUAUGGUAGAGGGUAGUGGAAUUUCCUGUGUAGCGGUGAAAUGCGUAGAUAUAGGAAGGAACACUAGUGGCGAAUGCGACUACCUGGACUGAUACUGACACUGAUGUGCGAAAGCGUGGGGAGCAAACAGAUUAGAUACCCUGGUAGUCCACGCCGUAAACGAUGUCAACUAGCCGUUGG
This 770-nucleotide ribosomal RNA is filed under the name uncultured bacterium. Its description in RNAcentral is "bacterial SSU rRNA". It matches the Rfam family "Bacterial small subunit ribosomal RNA", at positions 60 to 826 of the family's 1533-position model. The record is from RNAcentral.